Molecule: long non-coding RNA, 5370 nt
Filed under: Sus scrofa (pig)
Lineage: Eukaryota; Metazoa; Chordata; Mammalia; Artiodactyla; Suidae
Description: lncRNA (ENSSSCG00055030352.1)
Source: RNAcentral
UUUUUUUUUUUUUUUGCCUACGUAUUAGCAAUUAAUUGGCCUGAAAAAAUUAUUUAACUAAAUUAACUGAAUCAACCAGUUGUUUUGGUAUUAGUAAGAAACAGCUGGAUUAUUUUAUCCAAGGACUGACUUAAUCUGAUAGAUUUUUAGUUGAAGUUCAUCAUAUGCAUCUAAUCCCUACCAGGUCUUGACUUUAGUUUUCUCCUUGUAGACAGAUUUGCAUAUAGACACCCCUGGGAUUACAGCAUCAUUUAAAAAAUUUUUCGUUUUGUUUCUAGCAUUAUUUUGAAAAGCUGCUUUUUAAAAGAUAUUGGGCAAUCAUUAGCAUUCCACCUUAGAAGAGUUGUAAAAUUAAUACAUAUUUUGAGGGUUAAUUAAACUGAAAGUAUUUUGAGCUCUUUAGAAACAAAAUAACACUGUGAGAUAUAAUGUUAAUGUAGCUAUAUAGAUCACAUAAAAGGGAUGACAUUCAGUUCCUUUAAAAUAAAUAGCUAUCACUUAAUGCAAAAGAUGAUUCUUCUCUUGAACAGCAAUCCUUCUAUACCCCACCAGGGCUGCAACUUUUCCUGGCCUUUUAAAAAUCUGAAUAUCUUUUCUCACACAUUUUCUUUACUCUAUCCUCAUCAUUUUUGGAGGUGGCUGGGUUCAUGGUUUUCCCCCAGGUAAUAUGACAUCCAUUCAUAUACUCUGCUAUAGUUUUCCCUACCAAGAAGGGAUUAAUCUUUGAAUUUCACCUGGUCCUCAGGCAUAAAAGAAAGUGGGUGCGGAGUUCCCGUCGUGGCACAGUGGUUAACGAAUCCGACUAGGAACCAUGAGGUCGCGGGUUCGGUCCCUGCCCUUGCUCAGUGGAGGAGCUCCCGCUGUGACAAAAUAUCUUAGGAGCAGCAUCUUGGGAGGGCAGGUACCCAGGAACUCCGCACAGUGGGUUAAGGAUCCAGCAAUGCCACAGCUGAGGCUUAGGUGGCAACUGCAGCUCAGAUCUGAUCUCCGGCCCAGGAGCUCUACAUGCUGUGGGGUGGCCAAAAAUGAAAAAAAUAAAAAAUAAAUAUGCCAAGAAGGAGGGGGAGGGAUUGGGAUGGACUGGGAAUCUGGGGUUAAGAGAUGCAAACUAUUGCAUUUGGAAUGGAUAAGCAAUGAGAUCCUGCUGUAUAGCACUGGGAACUAUAUUUAGUCACUUGUGAUGAAGCAUGACGGAGGAUAAUGUGAGAUAAAGAACAUGUAUAUAUACAUAUAUGACCAGGUCACUUUGUUCUACAGUAGAAAAUUGACAGAAUAGUGUAAGCCAACUGUAACAGAGAAAAUAAAAAUCCUUAUAAAAAAUAAAAAACAAUCAUUAAAAUAAGAGAUCUACUUUUUGCAUAAAUAAAUAAAAACAAAAGAUUACAGGGAGGCUAACUGGUAUGUGCUGAACAAUUUUUCAUCAAAUUUAACUCCAGUGGAACUAACUGGUGUACUUACUACUACAUUGGUCUUUAGAAGGUAGAAGAAAACAACGUGGGCAUUGAUAUAUGGUCCUUUCAGUUCUGAGGGAAGCCAUGAAAAGUAAGUAAUUUACUUGUAAGCAUCUAUUACAGUAAAGGAAGGUUGUAGAGUUUCUAUUUAAAUGCAAAUAAUAACUCACAAUGUUGUAUAGAGAGUGAUUUAUUUUGAUAUGUUUCCCUCCACCCCUUCCCCAGAAUUUUAGGCUAGCUACUAGAAAUACUGUUCAAGGACAUCUGCUCAAGGAUCUCCCUUAUAAAAUAGUCAAGUAUUCCUUAAUGUUUAUAUCUCUGGUCAAGGAUAAAAAAACAAUCAGGCCUACCAAGGUUUAUAAAACAUGUCUUAUUGAAAGAUAUUCCUUAGUGGGUUGCAGUUCCAUGAACUGAAUCAGCAACAGUAGGUAGCUUUGGGGAUGAUCCACUUAUGGCAAACUGUAAAAUGUCUUCAAUGACCAAUCCAGUUAUAAUUAUCAUUAUCAUUGCAAACCUCUUGAUUUCUAACUCCUUUUAGGAUAUCUCCCCAUUGUAACUUCAACACAUAAAUACUGUGGUCAGAGAAAAUAUCUUUGAUUACAUGUGGAGAUAUAGAUAGAUAGAUAGAUACACACACACACAUACAUACAUAGAGGCAAGACUAUGAAAAUUGAAGUGUUUACAGGUUAUGUAGAUUGUGACUAUUUUACCAAGCAAACUGGAUUUCUACUUAGAGAUUUAAAUGAAAAACUGGCUCUCCUAUUUGGGAGGAUUUGGAGCUAAUCCACUGGGAGAUGCAGGGGCUGAUCAAUUAGCCUUUCCCAGGUGCCUUCCUAUCUUUAUACAUAGGGGAUACUCUAGAGCAGGUCCCUGGGCUCUACAGGAUAGUUUCUGGUGUCAGUGGAACAUUCAUAGUUACCUGCAGACUAAGUAGGAACAUAGGAUGCCAACAGAGGCCAUCUUUUAGAUUUCUGGAGGUCCAAACAGUUCCUGCUCAACUUCCCUGAUUACACUGUGGAUGGGUUAAGAGGAAUAGGGAAUAAAAAAAGGAGAGCAGAGUAGGGACACAGUAUCUUGAGUCAAACAGUUACAUACCAUAGUGAACCAUAAGAAAAGCUGCUUCAUGCAGACAUGGGAAAACUACAGCAGGCUUUGUUAGAGAGUUGUGGUUUUGGCUAGUGGGUAGUACAUAAUCUGAGAAUAUCACCAACAGUUUUAGGGAUCCUAUAUCUUUUAGUACUUUCACAUAAGUAUAUACAUUUAAAGUAAUUUCAUGAUAAUAAAAUGAUGUUUUAAGAGUUCUAGUCUUUUAAGGUUACAUCAACCCAGAAGAUAUUUUUUACAUUUAAAUACAGUGGUUUUUUUUCCUCCUGCAAAAUGUUCCACUGAUCUUUUAACAGCAAUCAAAUAAAAAUUCAUAAACGUCUAUGCAAAAAUCCAUAAGCCAACUAGUCAGUGACAGAAUAAGUGGGCUUUUUUUCUUAGCAUUUUGGAAAAUGUGAUAAACAGUAUUUGCUUUGCAAAACACAAUUCAAUAUUUUAUUUGUUUAAGGCAAGAUAAAGGGUAACAACUCUAAAUUUUGACUUCUGAAUAUCUGUGUUUGCCAAAAAGAUGUUCAUGUGUGUGGUUGAGGGAGAGUCUUUAUAUCAUUACUUCUUUAAAAUCUACUUCUAUCUACUUCUUUUAUUAUCAAAGUUCUUUAUUUUUUGUUUUCUACAGUCUCAUAUGCUAUCAUUCAGCUGAGUCAAACUCUUGGAUAUCUAUCUAUUCCCUAUUUUUGGGCUGUAGUAACAUUUGCUAAACAGAAUGUCCAGAGCCUCUUCUUAAAGCACCACUAGCAGGCACUGUUAGAGCAUUUUCAUUCAAGUUUAUUCUACUUGGGCAAAAAGGGAACAGCGGCUUACAUCCACUGAGGAUCAGUGAGCACAAUCUCAUAGCAACAGACACCAAAACAGUCCCUCAUUACAAGCCUUGUCCAACAAUCAAGUCUUUAACGAGAACAAAGGUUGACAGUGAUUAAUCAUUAAGCAGUUCCUUGUUCCUUGAUGCACGUGUUCUGAGCAGCCUCCUGCAGAGGCAGUCUGGCAUAUUUCCUGUCUCUGUACUCCACUGUGCCAUGUCUGAAGGGACGCCCAGGCAGCCUUCUCACUAUUUUAAUUUCAAAUGCUACAAACAUCUACAGAGUUUCUAUGUGCACAUGUCUUGACUUUUAUUCUGAGUCUGGCAGACUCUGAAUGGAUAUAGAGAGUCAGAACAUAAUAAGCCGUUAACUCCACAUCUGCUUACUAGAUUAUGUUCAAAGACAGUAUAAGAAAUUGAUUAAACACUGUUUUCUGGAAGAAACCUUUGAAAUCUGUUUCUUCAAGCAAUGCAAUGAUAAGUUGGUGUAAUUUAGUUGUGCAGUGAACAUAAGAUAACUUCGCUACUGUUUCUACAUAAAAAUAGCUUGUAUGUUGACAAAACACCAGGCUUUGAAAAGCAAUAAAAAUAUUUUCAAAAAUUCUCUUUCAAAUAAUUCUGUUUCACAAGGCAAUGGAGUUGUCAUGUUAAAUGACAUCGUUAUCAUUUUAUUCAGUGUGACUCUUCGUUGCAUUUUUUAAUUACUUGACUAGGAACUAUUUCUUUUGGCUGGUCAUGCAAUGGUAUAUGCAUUCAUCUUAAUAGAUUGACUUGGAUGUUCUAUUUUUUUUCUCUAUCACCACGUAAAUAGCACUAAUGAUAACCAUGUUACCUGUGAACUAGGAGGUCAGGUGAAGAGGGAAAAUUAAGUAUAAGACAGUUUCUAGGAGGUGAGGGGCAAGGAUUGACAGCAAUAACAACUACUUUAAAACCAAGGAAAGUCAGUUAUAACAACAAAUACGUUGCUUUUCCAAACAUCACAUCUAACAAAAACCAAAAUGAAGUAACCCUCGAGCUUUUUGGUACCUAUUAACUCCUUUUUUUCCAGCUGGUUAGAAUUAAGAAAUAGCAGGUCUCCAUUAGUUCAAGUAAAAGAUUUCAACUAGAAUGUGUAUAACAUAAAAACUAAAGUAGAAAAUCCAAUUAUAAAGUAUAAAAUAUGCAAUUCUGCUGGUGUACUCAGCAUUUUAGUAUUCAGCUAUAAUUUCUUUAAGCUGAGUUGUAUUUACCAGGGAAAGGAGAAUGACAAUGACAUUCUACAAACAAAAAGACCACCUUAUUAUUGGUAAUUAAGCUCUUCACCCAAAUCUAUGUGACAGGGAUGCAUAAUGGUCGUUGACUCAUGUUAAGAUCAAAGCAGCCCAUUAGGAAACCCCAUUCAGAAAAUGAACAUCUUUUAACCAGAGCCUCCUGGGAUCAACGUUUAAAACUAACAACAGUGAACUCUGAACUGUGAAGGAAAGCAAUGAUGAACUAUAGGAGGAAAGUUUUCAGGGCUUGAGAUGGUCUUAGGCAAUAGUCUUACAAACCAACCAAUCUGAUUAUUUUAACUCAAUUCGACUUGUAAUAAUCUACUCUAACUAGUUCUAGGUAUCUCUGUGGCUAGGGUAAAUGGACCUUGCCUCACACAUAUUACCUUUGAAACACAGUAUUUGGUUAAACUGCUCUGCUUAUCUUCGAUCUUUUUCUCAUUAGAAGCUAAGCCUGUAACAUUUGGGAGUGUCUCUCAAAAUCUAAGGGCAAAGACCUAGAUCAAUUACAAGUUAAGGGACUCUCAAACUAUGGGCAGAUGGCAUGGAAUACUAGAGCAAUUAAUAUAUCAUGGGUACACAAAUCUCAAAUAAAUUCCAUAAAUAACACUAUAGCUAUCGUAUGUUGGGUACUACGUAUCAGUCAUCAUGCUGGAUACUUUAUGUACUAUCAUGUUUCAUAACAUUCUAUGGUAGGUGCUAUUAUAGUAUCCUUGUUGCACAGGUGAGAGAAUUGACAUUUAGAGAAGUAAGAUAAUUCACCCAGAAA